GCGAAGCUCCUGAUCGAAGCCCCAGUAAACGGCGGCCGUAACUAUAACGGUCCUAAGGUAGCGAAAUUCCUUGUCGGGUAAGUUCCGACCUGCACGAAUGGCGUAAUGAUGGCCAGGCUGUCUCCACCCGAGACUCAGUGAAAUUGAACUCGCUGUGAAGAUGCAGUGUACCCGCGGCAAGACGGAAAGACCCCGUGAACCUUUACUAUAGCUUGACACUGAACAUUGAGCCUUGAUGUGUAGGAUAGGUGGGAGGCUUUGAAGUGUGGACGCCAGUCUGCAUGGAGCCAACCUUGAAAUACCACCCUUUAACGUUUGAUGUUCUAACCUAGGCCCAUAAACUGGGUCGGGGACCGUGUCUGGUGGGUAGUUUGACUGGGGCGGUCUCCUCCUAAAGAGUAACGGAGGAGCACGAAGGUUGGCUAAGCAUGGUCGGACAUCAUGCGGUUAGUGCAAAGGCAUAAGCCAGCUUGACUGCGAGAGUGACGGCUCGAGCAGGUACGAAAGUAGGUCUUAGUGAUCCGGUGGUUCUGAAUGGAAGGGCCAUCGCUCAACGGAUAAAAGGUACUCCGGGGAUAACAGGCUGAUACCGCCCAAGAGUUCAUAUCGACGGCGGUGUUUGGCACCUCGAUGUCGGCUCAUCACAUCCUGGGGCUGAAGUAGGUCCCAAGGGUAUGGCUGUUCGCCAUUUAAAGUGGUACGCGAGCUGGGUUUAGAACGUCGUGAGACAGUUCGGUCCCUAUCUGCCGUGGGCGUUGGAAGAUUGAGAGGGGUUGCUCCUAGUACGAGAGGACCGGAGUGAACGCACCACUGGUGUUCGGGUUGUCAUGCCAAUGGCAUUGCCCGGUAGCUAAGUGCGGAAGAGAUAACCGCUGAAAGCAUCUAAGCGGGAAACUUGCCUCGAGAUGAGUCUUCCCUGUCGCUUUAAGCGACCUAAAGGAACGUUUAAGACUAAGACGUUGAUAGGCUGGGUGUGUAAGCGUAGCGAUACGUUGAGCUAACCAGUACUAAUGAACCGUGAGGCUUAACCU
RNAcentral lists this ribosomal RNA (1031 nucleotides) under Proteus mirabilis. RNAcentral's name for it is "partial 23S ribosomal RNA". It matches the Rfam family "Bacterial large subunit ribosomal RNA", at positions 1899 to 2925 of the family's 2925-position model. The record is from RNAcentral. Lineage: Bacteria; Pseudomonadati; Pseudomonadota; Gammaproteobacteria; Enterobacterales; Morganellaceae.